AAAAAAAAAAGCUAAUACCGAAUGUGCCCUUCGGGGGAAAGAUUUAUCGCCUUUAGAGCGGCCCGCGUCUGAUUAGCUAGUUGGUUGAGGUAAUGGCUCACCAAGGCGACGAUCAGUAGCUGGGCUGAGAGGAUGAUCAGCCACAUUGGGACUGAGACACGGCCCAAACUCCUACGGGAGGCAGCAGUGGUUUAUUUUUUUCUAUGGACGCAAG
Molecule: ribosomal RNA, 214 nt
Filed under: uncultured bacterium
Lineage: Bacteria
Description: partial 16S ribosomal RNA
Rfam family: Bacterial small subunit ribosomal RNA
Source: RNAcentral